This 424-nucleotide ribosomal RNA is filed under the name uncultured bacterium. RNAcentral describes it as "bacterial SSU rRNA". It matches the Rfam family "Bacterial small subunit ribosomal RNA", at positions 358 to 773 of the family's 1533-position model. The record is from RNAcentral.
GGAAUUGUUCGCAAUGGGCGCAAGCCUGACGACGCAACGCCGCGUGGAGGAUGAAGACUUUCGGGUCGUAAACUCCUUUCGACCGAGAUGAAUGUCCCGCGACCUAAUACGUCGCGGGAGUGACAGUAUCGAGGGAAGAAGCCCCGGCUAACUACGUGCCAGCGGCCGCGGUAAUACGGGGGGGGCAAGCGUUGUUCGGAAUUACUGGGCGUAAAGGGUUCGUAGGUGGCUCGCUAAGUCAGACGUGAAAUCCCUCAGCUUAACUGGGGAACUGCGUCUGAGACUGGCGAGCUCGAGUGCAGGAGAGGAACGCGGAAUUCCAGGUGUAGCGGUGAAAUGCGUAGAUAUCUGGAGGAACACCGGUGGCGAAGGCGGCGUUCUGGACUGCAACUGACACUGAGGAACGAAAGCCAGGGUAGCAAAC